GUUUAUUAAAAACAUGUCUUUAUGAUGAUAAUAUAAAGUCGGGCCUGCCCAAUGAUUA
Molecule: transfer RNA, 58 nt
Filed under: Pachybrachis sp. ReAss_5
Lineage: Eukaryota; Metazoa; Arthropoda; Insecta; Coleoptera; Chrysomelidae
Description: tRNA-Ile
Source: RNAcentral